Molecule: long non-coding RNA, 713 nt
Filed under: Sus scrofa (pig)
Lineage: Eukaryota; Metazoa; Chordata; Mammalia; Artiodactyla; Suidae
Description: lncRNA (ENSSSCG00015016821.1)
Source: RNAcentral
UCGAAGAUUCUGACACUGUUCCUUAGAAUGAUCUGAUAGACUAGCCCCCAGCCGGGCUCAGGCACACAGUAGAUGUUCAACCAAGUUCUGUAGGAAUGAAAGAAACGCAGAGCGAAGGGUCCUUGGCCCAAACACAGGAUGGCAUGACCCAGCCAGGCACUUGGCUUUCUGGAAGGACCCUGUGCCCUUGCCGCCUGGCAGGUUCGACCAUCUGGUGGCCAUCGAGCUCCCGGGAAGGGCUGUGCGUGGCAAUUACUACAAUGCGGGAGAUGAAGAUCCAGCCCUUGGUGGACCCUGUGGGUAAUCCUUUCAGAUCACAGAGGAUUCCUGGAAUCUCGUCGAGACCAGCCAGAAGAAUCUAGAAGGACAGAGGAAAAUUGCUUCCUUUGUGACAGUUGUUGGCACAGUCUGAGACCUCAGUUUUACUGGCUGGAUACUACUCACCCUGAAGCUGCUGCAGCUGAGAAAUCUGUGGACAACUGAUGAAAGCGGGCAGCUAGUUCGAGUUCUUACCUGUUGGUCAGCCUCCCAGAUCUCUGCUUGCGGGUCUGGUGGAAGUGAGAGUGACCAGAGCCCUUUGUCUCUUUUCUACAAUUAAAUUAACAGGAGAAAAUAUCUGUGGAGCUAGUUCCUUGGACCCAGCAACUCUUGGUUUGAAAAUCGGCAGAGUGCUCCGGAUUUGUUGAUCCUUUUCCUCCCAAAGAUGGUUAUUG